RNAcentral lists this ribosomal RNA (371 nucleotides) under uncultured organism. Its description in RNAcentral is "partial 16S ribosomal RNA". It matches the Rfam family "Bacterial small subunit ribosomal RNA", at positions 527 to 896 of the family's 1533-position model. The record is from RNAcentral.
GUAGGUGGCAAGCGUUGUCCGGAGUUAUUGGGCGUAAGGCGCGCGCAGGCGGUUCUUUAAGUCUGAUGUGAAAGCCCACGGCUCAACCGUGGAGGGUCAUUGGAAACUGGAGAACUUGAGUACAGAAGAGGAAAGCGGAAUUCCACGUGUAGCGGUGAAAUGCGUAGAGAUGUGGAGGAACACCAGUGGCGAAGGCGGCUUUCUGGUCUGUAACUGACGCUGAGGCGCGAAAGCGUGGGGAGCAAACAGGAUUAGAUACCCUGGUAGUCCACGCCGUAAACGAUGAGUGCUAAGUGUUAGGGGGUUUCCGCCCCCUUAGUGCUGCAGCUAACGCAUUAAGCACUCCGCCUGGGAGUACGGCCGCAAGGCUG